This is a long non-coding RNA of Aethina tumida (small hive beetle), 448 nucleotides long. RefSeq lists it as uncharacterized. The transcript has 2 exons. The record is from RefSeq and is a predicted model, not a curated record. Lineage: Eukaryota; Metazoa; Arthropoda; Insecta; Coleoptera; Nitidulidae.
UUUAAUUCCAUUAAAUUCCAAAUUUUGUUUCAACAAAAACAAAAGCGGUCUGUUACUAAGACAAUUAAAACAAAAACAAACCUUACAUUAUGGCUGUUUCUUAGAAACACCAAAAAUGUUCAUUUAGUGUAGCAUAGAAUUAGACGUUUAUUUUAGUAACCUGUGACACACCUAAUACAAAACGGAAUUAUCUACAAUAAUACAGUAUAUUUAUGGUGAUGGCGAAAAAGUAGUACUUCGCUGAAAUACCCUCCUAGGAUUUUAUCGUUAAACAUUUACGAUGAAUCCAGCAGCGCAACGUGUACGUCAUGAUGGUUCCAGUGGAUAGAGCAAAUCCUUCGAGCAUAGAGCAUUUUAAAAAUGCCAAGAGCCCCGGAUUUGAAUCCCAUCUCCCCGCUACCGAAGGCACCUACAUCUGGAUGAUGGAAACCCUGGCCUAUCAUAACUG